This 462-nucleotide ribosomal RNA is filed under the name Triticum aestivum (bread wheat). Its description in RNAcentral is "partial small subunit ribosomal RNA". The record is from RNAcentral. Lineage: Eukaryota; Viridiplantae; Streptophyta; Magnoliopsida; Poales; Poaceae.
GCUCAUAUAGUCAAAAUAAGAAGGGACGUGCUAUAUCCGAAACGUACGAAAUAUAGUAAAUAUUUUAAAUGCAGAUGUAGUAGGGGUCGCAAACCGGAUGGUACACAACUUGGUUUUGGAAGAUAUGGCACCAAAAGUUGUAGAGCUGGUCGUCUUUCAUAUCGAGCCAUUGAAGCAGCGCAUCGAGCUACAAUCGGACAAUUCCAUCGUGCUAUGAGCGGACAAUUCCAAAGAAAUUGUAAGAUACGUGUAACAGUUCACGCUGAUCUUCCUAUUAUGGGGAAACCCGAAGAAGGUCGAAUGGGAAGAGGAAAAGGAAAUCCGACGGGUUGGAUUGCUCGUGUGUCCACGGGAAAAAUCCCAUUUGAAAUGGAUGGUGUGAGUUUGUCAAAUGCUCGACAAGCCGCUAGAUUAGCGGCGCAUAAACCAUAUUCGUCAACCAAGUUUGUUCAGUGGUCGUAA